UACUGUAUCUUACAGCAGUGAUAAAGUUGACCUGAAGAAGCUCAUCAACCCUCUGGCUUUGUUGAUCUUCAUAGUAAUGAUGACCUUGAUCAUUUGGUUUAUACUGAAGACACACAGUAAGUCUUUACUCGUCUCUAGGAGUUGAUUCACUGAACACUGACCGUGUGUAACAUGAGCUUUAAUUGUUUACCUUGUAGAGCAACGCAAAGGGAAUUCAUCAGCUACAGUUAAGGCCAGUUUGAUUUGUUUUUUACUCUUGUGGUACUUUGAUUUUGUCAAUCAGAAAGUGUUUUUGUGUUUUAUGUAUUAUUCUAUAGAUGAAGAACGUUUGUUAACAGUUGUUUAAUCCUUUAAUACAGGCUGAAAGUGAAGUAACAUACUGUGAUGUUGCAUACAGGAGAAGAACUUCAGUGCAGAUGUCAUGCACAGAUGUGGAUGUUACGUAUGCUGCUGUGGUUACCAAGAAGUAGCAGUCUGUAAAGGUUGAAGGUACAGUACAAAGCCAUGAGUCUCCACCAACCACAAAUUUGAAGGUCUGUUGUUUCAUACAUCCGGACAAUGUGAGCUGUUGGGCUGUUUGUCACACUACACAUCGCUGUUUGUGGUUUGCUUCUGAAAUGCAGCCGCAUACAAAAUGGGUGCAGGCGCAUUCAACUUAGGUUAUGCUUUAACUUGAGAUCACACACUUGCUCUAAACAGUCAACAUGUUAGUUACAGUAUGGU
RNAcentral lists this long non-coding RNA (723 nucleotides) under Betta splendens (Siamese fighting fish). RNAcentral describes it as "lncRNA (ENSBSLG00000021086.1)". Lineage: Eukaryota; Metazoa; Chordata; Actinopteri; Anabantiformes; Osphronemidae. The record is from RNAcentral.